RNAcentral lists this ribosomal RNA (361 nucleotides) under Brevundimonas sp. RNAcentral describes it as "bacterial SSU rRNA". It matches the Rfam family "Bacterial small subunit ribosomal RNA", at positions 66 to 455 of the family's 1533-position model. The record is from RNAcentral. Lineage: Bacteria; Pseudomonadati; Pseudomonadota; Alphaproteobacteria; Caulobacterales; Caulobacteraceae.
ACGAACUCUUCGGAGUUAGUGGCGGACGGGUGAGUAACACGUGGGAACGUGCCUUUAGGUUCGGAAUAACUCAGGGAAACUUGUGCUAAUACCGAAUGUGCCCUUCGGGGGAAAGAUUUAUCGCCUUUAGAGCGGCCCGCGUCUGAUUAGCUAGUUGGUGAGGUAAAGGCUCACCAAGGCGACGAUCAGUAGCUGGUCUGAGAGGAUGAUCAGCCACAUUGGGACUGAGACACGGCCCAAACUCCUACGGGAGGCAGCAGUGGGGAAUCUUGCGCAAUGGGCGAAAGCCUGACGCAGCCAUGCCGCGUGAAUGAUGAAGGUCUUAGGAUUGUAAAAUUCUUUCACCGGGGACGAUAAUGAC